AUGCCUGUGCACACCAGCCCCCGCCAGCCCCUCCUGCCCCCCGGGGAGGGCAGCAGGUGGGUGCCCGGCCCCUCGGGUGGGGGUGAAGCGUGCGCCCCUACCUGGCCGCCUGCAUCAGCGGGCUCCAGCCGUAGUGGUUCCUGCUCUGCACCGAGGCCCCCUUCCGCAGCAGGAACCGCACCAGCUGCUCGUGGCCGCCCGCCGCGGCGAACUGCAGCCCGGUGUUGCCGGCCUCGUCGGUGCAAUCCACGGGGACGGCGGCCGCCGGCUCGGCGCUGCCGCCGGGCAGCCCCAGCAGGCGCCGGGCGGUCUCGCAGUCGCCCUGCUCGCAGGCACGGAGGAAGAGCUGCACCUGGGGGGGCACCCCGCACUCCCCCAUCGGCGGUGGCAGCGGAGGCGACGGCACCGAGCCCCGGCCGGCCCGGCCGCCCCCGGCCCUCGGCGGCCGUUGUGAAGGCGGCGGGGAGGAGGGGAGGAGGCCGGGGGGAGGAGGGCCUGCGCCGGCCCCUCACGGCGGCGGCGCUGCCGCCGGCCCCCGCGCCAUCUUCGCGCUGCUGCCACACAAAGAGGCGGCCCCGGCCAUCGCGGCUGCCCGCAGGGCGCUGGGGAUGGCUGCGGCGCUUUCCUGCCUCCUCCUGCCCUCCCUCACAGGCUCCUUCAAUAGAGUUGGGCGAUACAGAGCCCAGUCGUUGCUCGACAAAUCUCUCCUUGCACCCCAGUAGUGCCCAGCAGCUGGUCUUUGAGCAUAAAACUACGAUUUUUGUUUCUAAGUCUCCCCUCUAUACCUUCAGCCUCCUAGGUAGCCUGGCACCCUUUCCAGCUUACAUUGAUUUACAACAGCUAAACUGAGAAAAAAAAUGAAGCUCUGGUGAAACAACUCCCGAACCACACUUAACCGGUUAACUUAAGAGUAUGGUAUCGCCCCCCUAUAACUUCUAUAGCUUCCACCAGGUUGGUCUCUAUUAAAACUCAUCACUUCAAGGGCAGAACACAGCACUUGUUAUAAUGGUGGAGGUUUGGGGAAGAGUGAAUUAGGAGACGCUACGGGGCCAGGUGUCACUAAAAUGAAGCCAUCCACUGGUUUUAGUCAGAGGGACCCAUACUUUCCAUGUUACAUGGAUUUCGUCCUCUGAUCCACUGGUAAAUCCAGAUCACAGGACCAUCACAGCAAAGGGCCUAACAAGCUGCACUUCAAGAAAGACUCCAGCAAAAAAAGUACUGACUGUGUAAGGCCACUUAAACCCAUCCUCUGAGAGAGUACCGCUCACAGCAGGGAAAAAAUGACUUACACCUUUGCAAAUAUAUCCUCACAGAAACAAUAGGACAAAUUCCUAGACAGGGUAAAUAGUGAUGCUUUCUCCAUUAUAGAUAUCACACAUUAAAUACUGUAAAGCAUGUAAACAUUUAACAUGGGUAUUUUUGUUAAAAACAAAUCCAUAAACACAAAGAUGUUUAUGCUGCCCAUCAGCAGAAGCAAGAUACGUGGCUAGGCAAACUGUUGGUCUAGCCAAUAAAACCACUCUCAACACUACA
This 1533-nucleotide long non-coding RNA is filed under the name Anas platyrhynchos platyrhynchos (common mallard). Its description in RNAcentral is "lncRNA (ENSAPLG00000022081.1)". Lineage: Eukaryota; Metazoa; Chordata; Aves; Anseriformes; Anatidae. The record is from RNAcentral.